GAGUAACGAUAAAGGGGUCGAGAGGCCCCUCGCCGAAAAUCCAAGGUUUCCUGCUCAACGCUAAUCGGAGCAGGGUGAGUCGGCCCCUAAGGCGAGGCAGAAAUGCGUAGUCGAUGGGAAACAGGUUAAUAUUCCUGUACCGUUUGUUACUGCGAUGGGAUGACGGAGAAGGUUAGGUCAGCCAGCGGUUGGAAGUGCUGGUUUAAGCGUGUAGGCAGUGUUUUUAGGCAAAUCCGAAGACACAAUGCCAAGGCGUGAUGACGAGUUCCGUAGGGAACGAAGUGAUUGAUACCCUGCUUCCAGGAAAAGUCUCUAAGCUUCAGGUAACAGAUGACCGUACCCCAAACCGACACAGGUGGAUGGGAUGAGAAUUCUAAGGCGCUUGAGAGAACUCGGGUGAAGGAACUAGGCAAAAUAGCACCGUAACUUCGGGAGAAGGUGUGCCUCUGUUAGGUGAAGGUCCUAGCGACUGGAGCUGAAGGAGGUUGCAGUGAACUGGUGGCUGCGACUGUUUAUUAAAAACACAGCACUCUGCAAACACGAAAGUGGACGUAUAGGGUGUGACGCCUGCCCGGUGCCGGAAGGUUAAUUGAUGGGGUUAUCUUCGGAGAAGCUCUUGAUCGAAGCCCCGGUAAACGGCGGCCGUAACUAUAACGGUCCUAAGGUAGCGAAAUUCCUUGUCGGGUAAGUUCCGACCUGCACGAAUGGCGUAACGAUGGCCACACUGUCUCCACCCGAGACUCAGUGAAAUUGAAAUUGCGGUUAAGAUGCCGUAUACCCGCGGCUAGACGGAAAGACCCCGUGAACCUUUACUACAGCUUUGCACUGAACUUUGAACCUAUUUGUGUAGGAUAGGUGGGAGGCAUAGAAGCGUGAACGCCAGUUUGCGUGGAGCCGACCUUGAAAUACCACCCUGGUAUGUUUGGAGUUCUAACCUGCAUCCAUGAUCUGGAUGAGGGACAGUGUAUGGUGGGUAGUUUGACUGGGGCGGUCUCCUCCCAAAGAGUAACGGAGGAGCACGAAGGUACACUAAGCAUGGUCGGACAUCAUGCGGUUAGUGCAAAGGCAAAAGUGUGCUUGACUGCGAGACAGACACGUCGAGCAGGUACGAAAGUAGGUCUUAGUGAUCCGGUGGUUCUGAAUGGAAGGGCCAUCGCUCAACGGAUAAAAGGUACUCCGGGGAUAACAGGCUGAUACCGCCCAAGAGUUCAUAUCGACGGCGGUGUUUGGCACCUCGAUGUCGGCUCAUCACAUCCUGGGGCUGUAGCCGGUCCCAAGGGUAUGGCUGUUCGCCAUUUAAAGUGGUACGCGAGCUGGGUUUAGAACGUCGUGAGACAGUUCGGUCCCUAUCUGCCGUGGGCGUUGGAAAUUUGAGAGGAGCUGCUCCUAGUACGAGAGGACCGGAGUGGACGUACCCCUGGUGUUCGGGUUGUGAUGCCAAUCGCAUUGCCCGGUAGCUAUGUACGGACGGGAUAACCGCUGAAAGCAUCUAAGCGGGAAGCCCCCCUCAAGAUUAGAUUUCCCCGAGCUUUAAGCUCCUGAAGGGCCGUGGAAGACCACCACGUUGAUAGGCUGGGUGUGGAAGCGCAGUAAUGUGUGAAGCUAACCAGUACUAAUUGCCCGUGAGGCUUGACCAUAUAAC
This 1642-nucleotide ribosomal RNA is filed under the name Methylophaga lonarensis MPL. Its description in RNAcentral is "bacterial LSU rRNA". It matches the Rfam family "Bacterial large subunit ribosomal RNA", at positions 1304 to 2925 of the family's 2925-position model. The record is from RNAcentral. Lineage: Bacteria; Pseudomonadati; Pseudomonadota; Gammaproteobacteria; Thiotrichales; Piscirickettsiaceae.